RNAcentral lists this ribosomal RNA (490 nucleotides) under uncultured bacterium. Its description in RNAcentral is "bacterial SSU rRNA". It matches the Rfam family "Bacterial small subunit ribosomal RNA", at positions 30 to 513 of the family's 1533-position model. The record is from RNAcentral.
AUUGAACGCUGGCGGCAGGCCUAACACAUGCAAGUCGAGCGGUAGAAGGGAGCUUGCUUCCUUUGAGAGCGGCGGACGGGUGAGUAAUGCCUAGGAAUCUGCCUGGUAGUGGGGGAUAACGUUCGGAAACGGACGCUAAUACCGCAUACGUCCUACGGGAGAAAGUGGGGGAUCUUCGGACCUCACGCUAUCAGAUGAGCCUAGGUCGGAUUAGCUAGUUGGUGAGGUAAUGGCUCACCAAGGCGACGAUCCGUAACUGGUCUGAGAGGAUGAUCAGUCACACUGGAACUGAGACACGGUCCAGACUCCUACGGGAGGCAGCAGUGGGGAAUAUUGGACAAUGGGCGCAAGCCUGAUCCAGCCAUGCCGCGUGUGUGAAGAAGGUCUUCGGAUUGUAAAGCACUUUAAGUUGGGAGGAAGGGUAGUAGCUUAAUACGUUGCUACUUUGACGUUACCGACAGAAUAAGCACCGGCUAACUCUGUGCCAGCA